AUUAAUUUGAGAGUUUGAUCCUGGCUCAGGACGAACGCUGGCGGCGUGCCUAAUACAUGCAAGUCGAACGAACUCUGGUAUUGA
This 84-nucleotide ribosomal RNA is filed under the name Lactiplantibacillus plantarum. RNAcentral's name for it is "Lactobacillus plantarum partial 16S ribosomal RNA". It matches the Rfam family "Bacterial small subunit ribosomal RNA", at positions 1 to 82 of the family's 1533-position model. The record is from RNAcentral. Lineage: Bacteria; Bacillati; Bacillota; Bacilli; Lactobacillales; Lactobacillaceae.